Long non-coding RNA from Zingiber officinale, 484 nucleotides. RefSeq lists it as uncharacterized. Lineage: Eukaryota; Viridiplantae; Streptophyta; Magnoliopsida; Zingiberales; Zingiberaceae. The transcript has 3 exons. The record is from RefSeq and is a predicted model, not a curated record.
CUAAAAACCCUCUCUUCCUCACUUCACCACUUUCUUUUUUUCCUUCGUCUCCAACUCCUUAUCUCUUCGGCGACGCGAAGCGCUUGGGUUGCUUUCUUCUUCGGCGACGCGACAGUGCUAGAGGGUUUCCUUCUUUUUCGGCGACUCGGCAGCGCUAGGGUUUUAUUUUCUCCUCGACUCGACGGUAGAAGAAGGACAAAGGCGAUUCCGUAUCCUAAUAGGGGAUCAAGAUGGGCAUCGUGUUGUCAAAGUUGAAUGAAUUUGGGAUACUCUUCCACCAUAAGAUUCUCAAGAGGAGGAUGUCAGCAUGACGGGCACUUUUUCUAAGAAUCUUCUAUAUUUACAAUGAAUUUCUCUUCAAAUAAAUGGCCUGAUGAUUCAAUUGUGGGUGGUCGGUUUAGUUGGUUAUAUAUGAGUGUCUUUUUUAUCUAUCACUGUAGUGUUUUGAAUCUUUUCCUUGUUGAUAAAAUUCCCCGUUACAAAA